RNAcentral lists this microRNA precursor (178 nucleotides) under Jatropha curcas. Its description in RNAcentral is "MIR168 microRNA precursor family". It matches the Rfam family "MIR168 microRNA precursor family". Lineage: Eukaryota; Viridiplantae; Streptophyta; Magnoliopsida; Malpighiales; Euphorbiaceae. The record is from Rfam by way of RNAcentral.
UUACCGGCGGUCUCUAAUUCGCUUGGUGCAGGUCGGGAACUGAUUGGCUUCGCUUGUAUGUACUUGUGUGUACAGUAUGUACUUAAUCAAUGCCAGAUGGCGAGAUGUGAUUAGUUGAGAUGAAUGGAAGCGAAUUGGAUCCCGCCUUGCAUCAACUGAAUCGGAGACCGCGGUGAAG